CGACCGGCGCACGGGUGAGUAUCGCGUAUCCAACCUGCCCCUUACUUGGGGAUACCCCGUUGAAAGACGGCCUAAUACCCGAUGUGUUUCAUUGACGGCAUCCGAUAUGAAACAAAGGUUUUCCGGUAAGGGAUGGGGAUGCGUCUGAUUAGCUUGUUGGCGGGGCAACGGCCCACCAAGGCGACGAUCAGUAGGGGUUCUGAGAGGAAGGUCCCCCACAUUGGAACUGAGACACGGUCCAA
This 242-nucleotide ribosomal RNA is filed under the name uncultured bacterium. RNAcentral describes it as "partial 16S ribosomal RNA". It matches the Rfam family "Bacterial small subunit ribosomal RNA", at positions 92 to 334 of the family's 1533-position model. The record is from RNAcentral.